RNAcentral lists this transfer RNA (75 nucleotides) under Metabacillus litoralis. RNAcentral's name for it is "tRNA-Glu". It matches the Rfam family "tRNA". From Rfam's summary of the family: Transfer RNA (tRNA) molecules are approximately 80 nucleotides in length. Their secondary structure includes four short double-helical elements and three loops (D, anti-codon, and T loops). Lineage: Bacteria; Bacillati; Bacillota; Bacilli; Caryophanales; Bacillaceae. RNAcentral also lists the same sequence under 23 other names. The record is from RNAcentral.
GGCCCGUUGGUCAAGCGGUUAAGACACCGCCCUUUCACGGCGGUAUCACGGGUUCGAAUCCCGUACGGGUCACCA